This 67-nucleotide transfer RNA is filed under the name Olea europaea subsp. europaea. RNAcentral describes it as "tRNA.Ala". Lineage: Eukaryota; Viridiplantae; Streptophyta; Magnoliopsida; Lamiales; Oleaceae. The record is from RNAcentral.
GGUCACCACAGUGUUCAUUGCACUCGCCUUGCACGCGGGAGACCCGGGUUCAAUUUCCGGCGGACCC